GUGGAGUGGGUGACAUAAACUUUUGUUUUAAUUUAUGAAGUUUUGUACGUUAUCUCUAUGUUUUGCAAUUCAUGUUUCACUUUGAGUAUGCAACUCAUAAUUCUCAUCAUUGCUAAUACUGAUUCCUGUUAGUAAGGAAUGGAAAUUCAUGCUUCAUUGAUCAUUCUAGCAAUUUUUUUUCCUUAUUCAGUUAUUCCUUUUGGAAAAAUCUCAUUUCUCCUUAUUCUAUUUUCUUUUUCAUUACAAUCUUCUCCUUAAGAGUUUCUGUUGUUUGAUCCAUCCACAACAAUUGAAAGAGAUUGAACUAUCCUUUCAAGACAGAUUUGGAGUGGAUGGCAUAACAGUUACUAUAUGGUAUAUAUUCCCUCCCAUUGCCCUAGCCACUCAUUGCUGUUUUGGUACCUCACGAGAAUACAUUGAAGUAAUUAAUUAGGGAAUUGUAGGUUUAUUUCAUAUUUUGGAGGAACACACAGGUGAUUUAUGCAACUCAUUCUUCUCAUGUUCAGCAAAAACUGGGGCAGUGUUUGGCUGAAAUAACAAUUAUUGUUACAAUGUCCUCGACCGUUUAUGGUUCAUUGCUUGAUCUACCUUCGGGUGACCAAAAAGGGUAUAGGAGUGGUGAUGUUGGCUUAAGGUUGAGAUCUUUAGAAGUUCAUUCCUCUAAAGCUUCAUAAAAGCUCUUUUUGAGCAAUGCUCCCAUUUUCGGAUUUGGUGAUUAAUUCGCCUUGUAUCUCUCAUCUAAUUUAGUUCCAAAGGAACUCAUUGGUGAAAACACUU
This 777-nucleotide unclassified non-coding RNA is filed under the name Hevea brasiliensis (rubber tree). Lineage: Eukaryota; Viridiplantae; Streptophyta; Magnoliopsida; Malpighiales; Euphorbiaceae. The record is from RNAcentral.